Molecule: ribosomal RNA, 374 nt
Filed under: uncultured organism
Description: bacterial SSU rRNA
Rfam family: Bacterial small subunit ribosomal RNA
Source: RNAcentral
CGUAGGAGACGAGCGUUAUCCGGAUUUACUGGGCGUAAAGCGUGUGCAGGCGGUUCGGCAAGUUGGAUGUGAAAUCUCCCGGCUCAACUGGGAGGGGUCGUUCAAAACUACCGAACUUGAGGUCAUCAGAGGAAGGUGGAAUUCCGGGUGUAGUGGUGAAAUGCGUAGAUAUCCGGAGGAACACCAGUGGCGAAGGCGGCCUUCUGGGAUGAUCCUGACGCUCAGACACGAAAGCUAGGGGGAGCGAACGGGAUUAGAGACCCCGGUAGUCCUAGCUGUAAACGAUGUAGACUUGGCGUCGGAGGGUUCAAAACCUUCGGUGUCGUAGCUAACGCGAUAAGUCUACCGCCUGGGGACUACGGCCGCAAGGGUUA